GACGAACGCUGGCGGCGUGCCUAAUACAUGCAAGUAGAACGCUGAAGGAGGAGCUUGCUUCUCUGGAUGAGUUGCGAACGGGUGAGUAACGCGUAGGUAACCUGCCUGGUAGCGGGGGAUAACUAUUGGAAACGAUAGCUAAUACCGCAUAACAGUAGAUGUUGCAUGACAUUUGCUUAAAAGGUGCAAUUGCAUCACUACCAGAUGGACCUGCGUUGUAUUAGCUAGUUGGUGGGGUAACGGCUCACCAAGGCGACGAUACAUAGCCGACCUGAGAGGGUGAUCGGCCACACUGGGACUGAGACACGGCCCAGACUCCUACGGGAGGCAGCAGUAGGGAAUCUUCGGCAAUGGACGGAAGUCUGACCGAGCAACGCCGCGUGAGUGAAGAAGGUUUUCGGAUCGUAAAGCUCUGUUGUAAGAGAAGAACGAGUGUGAGAGUGGAAAGUUCACACUGUGACGGUAUCUUACCAGAAAGGGACGGCUAACUACGUGCCAGCAGCCGCGGUAAUACGUAGGUCCCGAGCGUUGUCCGGAUUUAUUGGGCGUAAAGCGAGCGCAGGCGGUUAGAUAAGUCUGAAGUUAAAGGCUGUGGCUUAACCAUAGUACGCUUUGGAAACUGUUUAACUUGAGUGCAAGAGGGGAGAGUGGAAUUCCAUGUGUAGCGGUGAAAUGCGUAGAUAUGGAGGAACACCGGUGGCGAAAGCGGCUCUCUGGCUUGUAACUGACGCUGAGGCUCGAAAGCGUGGGGAGCAAACAGG
This 761-nucleotide ribosomal RNA is filed under the name uncultured Streptococcus sp. RNAcentral's name for it is "bacterial SSU rRNA". It matches the Rfam family "Bacterial small subunit ribosomal RNA", at positions 28 to 776 of the family's 1533-position model. The record is from RNAcentral. Lineage: Bacteria; Bacillati; Bacillota; Bacilli; Lactobacillales; Streptococcaceae.